RNAcentral lists this ribosomal RNA (441 nucleotides) under uncultured bacterium. Its description in RNAcentral is "partial 16S ribosomal RNA". It matches the Rfam family "Bacterial small subunit ribosomal RNA", at positions 338 to 795 of the family's 1533-position model. The record is from RNAcentral.
CCUACGGGUGGCAGCAGUGGGGGAUAUUGCACAAUGGGGGAAACCCUGAUGCAGCGACGCCGCGUGGGUGAAGAAGUAUUUCGGUAUGUAAAGCCCUAUCAGCAGGGAAGAAAGAAGACGGUACCUGACUAAGAAGCCCCGGCUAACUACGUGCCAGCAGCCGCGGUAAUACGUAGGGGGCGAGCGUUAUCCGGAUUCACUGGGUGUAAAGGGAGCGUAGACGGCCGUGCAAGCCAGGAGUGAAAGCCCGGGGCGCAACCCCGGGACUGCUCUUGGAACUGUGCGGCUGGAGUGCGGGAGGGGCAGGCGGAAUUCCUGGUGUAGCGGUGAAAUGCGUAGAUAUCAGGAGGAACACCGGCGGCGAAGGCGGCCUGCUGGACCGCGACUGACGUUGAGGCUCGAAAGCGUGGGGAGCGAACAGGAUUAGAUACCCGGGUAGUC